AAUUUAAAAUUAUAUGAAAUUUUCAGUAAACAGCCAGUAACUGUAAAAGUAAAGGCAAUUUUUUAAAGGCGUUGAAUUGCUUGUUAAAGGCUGAGCCAUCGGGAACUUGUGCGUCCAUCUCAGGGAGACCUGGCCUUCAGAGAUGACAGCAUUCAGCCCCAGGAGGAGCCUGCAAUUCGUCCUCGGUCUUCCCAGCUUGUGCCCCCCAUGGGGAUACAGGACAGUAAGGAGCCAAACAGAACCUGCUGCCUGAAUGGGGGAACCUGCAUGCUGGGGUCCUUUUGUGCCUGCCUCCCCUCCUUCUAUGGAUGGAACUGUGAGCACGGUGUACGCAAAGAGAAUUGUGGGUCUGUGCCCCAUGACACCCGGCUGCCCAAGAAGUGUUCCAUGUGUAAAUGCUGGCACGGGCAGCUCCGCUGCUUUCCUCAGGCAUUUCUACCUGGCUGUGAUGGCCUUGUGAUGGAUGAGCACCUCAUGGCUCCCAGGACUCCAGAACUACCACCGUCUGCAUGCACCACUUUUAUAUGCUAGCUGGCAUCUGCCUUUCUAUACAAAGUUACUA
This 562-nucleotide long non-coding RNA is filed under the name Homo sapiens (human). Its description in RNAcentral is "non-protein coding lnc-SPHKAP-1:1". The record is from RNAcentral. Lineage: Eukaryota; Metazoa; Chordata; Mammalia; Primates; Hominidae.